AAGGAGCUAUGGUCGAUUGAAGUUGACUCAAGUUUUGAUGCUCACUAAAACUCGAAUGAUAGGAAAACUUUCAACUUGACCUUGAGUUAUGGGACCUUUAUGAUCUCAAUUCAUGCUUAAAUGGUUACCAUGCUACAUACUUGAUUAACAUGAAAAAUUUGCAUAGGAUUUAUGGCUUUUGGAUCAUCUACGCAUAGAAAUAAUGGUUUUCAUUCUAGUCCGAAACAUGGGGUGUUACAAAUAACGUAUAGAAUUCUACUUGUAAAAGGAUUGUAAUGUAGUAUCCUAUUUGGAAAAGGAUUAGAAUAUAUUGUUUAUAAAUAGGAUCUCAGUAUAACAAUGUAGUUACAACAAUUCAAUUUUUUCUUCACCUGUAUUUCUCACAAAACUGAACAUAGGAUGAACAUUGGCGUUAUAAACCUAUGUUUUUCCUUGCCAAUUUGUUAUAGAUGCCAUCUUAUUUCCCGACAUCUAUGUACUCGAGACAGAUUCAAAUAUUGAAGAUACUAUAUAGGUGGACCUUCAAUCAUUGAAUUGUUUGCAAAAUUUAUAAGAAUCGAGUUAACGACAAACAAGAAAAUAAUGUUGAAGCAAAAGUACGAAGAUUGAAGAUAGAAAAUUAAAGAUUAAUGCAAUUUAAGAAGAAAAUCCUCAAACUUCAACAUCAAGUGCUAAGAAUCCUAGUUAAACUUAGAGAUCGUUUGGUAGAGUGUAUUUUAAAAAAUAAUGCAUGUAUUAGUCUUGUGUACUACUAGUACCUUGUUUGGUAUAUUUUUAUUAGUCUAUUGAUAACUAAUGCUUAUACACUGUAUUGUGUAUUGAGAUAUGUGGUACAAAUACCACCCUUUUCUAUAUAUUAGUAAUACAAAGGGUUUCAACAUAUGCGUUGACAUGAUUAAUGAAAUUAAUACCCCUCAAAUCCGUCUCAAAGGCUUUAGAUGCAGACAAUCAACUUAUUCCAUAAUAGUUCAUUCAACAACAACAUACCCAGUGUAUAUAGUGUAUGCAAUCCAUACCAGUACCUCAGAUGAAGUAGAGAGACUGUUUUUGAUAGACCCGUGAUUCAGGACAAACACCAAUAUAACCAACAAAAACAUAAAAACACACAACAGAAUGAUCUAAGAAACAUGACACCCAUAGAUUAAUACUAUAAACUAUCUAUCUGAAAUCACCAACAACACCAAAUCACCAUAUAUAAGAAACUACAAGGCACAUGCAUAACACUAUGACUACAGGCACAACUACACAUAAGGAACUCUUCCCUAUUAGUAAGAACACACUCCUAUCCACUAACCCUCUACUUUAAUAUGCGUCUUCCACACUUUUCGAUCAAGGGUCAUGUCCUCUGUAAGCUGUACCUGCUUCAUGUUCCGCCUAAUCAUUUCCCUCCAAUAUUUCUUUGGCCUACCUCUACCCUGCACGAAACCAUCCAUAGCCAACCUCUCACACCUCCAUACAGGGUAUCUGGGCACCUUCUCAUCACAUGUCCGAACCCAUCUUAACCUCCUUUCCUGCAUCUUGUCUUCCACUGAAGCCACUCCCGUCUUCUUUUGAAUAAUCUCAUUUCUAAUCCUAUCUCUCCUAGUAAGUUCACACAUUUAUCACAAUAUCCUCAUUUUUGUCACCUUCAACUCUUUGAUGUGGGAGUUUUUAAUCGGCCAACACUCCGGUCUAUACAACAUAGCCGGUCGGACUGUCACUCUGUAGAACUCAUCUUUAAGUUUGGGAGGCACCUUCGUAUCACACAAGACUCCCGAAGCGAGCCUCCAUUUCAGCACCCAUCCUGCACAAAUUUGGUGCGUGACAUCCUCAUCAAUCUCCAUAUUCCCCUGAAUCAUAGACCCAAGAUACUUGAAACUAUCUCUCUUCCGAAGGGCCUGAGAAUCCAGCUUUUCUACCACGUCCACCCCAUGCAUCAAAUCACUGAACUUACAUUCCAAGUACUCCGUCUUGGUCCUGCUCAAUCUAAACCCUAUAGACUCAAGGCUUCAUCCUUGCCAUGGAGCUAUCCUCUCACCCUUCUUGAAAAAAAUCCGACUUCGAAUUUACCCAACAUCAAACAAGGACAAAUCAACAACAUUGAAAGUAGCCCUUGAUACUCACCAGGCAAAUCCAACUUGUAAGCAUUGUCUCCAAUUCACUCUAGAACUUUAAAGGGUCCAUCACCUCUAGGAUGCAAUUUAGACUUCCUUUUGGAAGGAAACCUUUCUUUCCUCGUGUGAGCCCAAACUAAGUCCCCAUACUCGAAGAUGACUUGUUUGCGCCCUCUGUUUAUUCUCAAAACAACUUGCUCAUUUCUUCUAUCAAUGGCCAGUCUAGUUUACUAAUAUAUCUUCCUCAUUAUCCCAGUUUAUUUUUUCCAUCAAGGCUAGCAACAUGAUUAGUAGGCAAUGACACUAAAUCAAGAGGAGUAAGGGGAUUAAAACCCUAUUAACUUCAAAAGGAGAAAACCCAGUAGAAGAAUGAAUAGUUCUAUUAUAAGCAAAUUUCCACUAGAUAGUCCAAAAGUCGUAGAGACAAUUCUUGAACAUUCAACAACCAAGGAAUGGAAAUAAUUAAGGCAUCUACUUAUGGUUUGCCUCUUACAAUUAUAGCCCAAAAUUGGCUUGAGAAACGAUUUCAAAAAUAGCCCAAAACAGAUCACUACCUGCUGGACCAUCUGCGGCCGCCGAUGGUGGUUUGUUGCCCGUAUAUGCAGCCACAGAACUCGGUGUUUAGGCGUCUGCGGUUGGUUUGCUGACCGCAUCUGCUGGUUUGCUAAUCGCACUUGGGGACAUAGGCAUCAUAGCUUUCCCUAUGCUCCAAACUAUCAUCCAAAUGUGAAAUUCCUUCGGUAGAAGCCCAAAAAGAUGCUCCCAAGCUCCUCUUUGUGUCCUCAUGGUGAGCGUGGCUUGCGUUCUCUUGAAUAGACCUUGAAGUAUAAGUCUGACAUGAAUUGUGCCGGGUGAUAUCAUAUCAUCCUCUUUUUUUGAAAAGGAUUCGUCCUCGAAUCCGAUUCUUGUAAAAAUAUCUGAAGGGGAAACAACCAAGAAAUCCUUAUAGUACGAGGGUUAGCACAAGGGUUUAAUACAAAUAUCACCAUGCACCAAGGAGGUAUAAGUUUGAAAUACAACCAAGUAUCCUCUACUAUCAUGAAGAACAACUCAUUGUACAAGAUACAAAGGACUUGACUAUUAAGCAUAUUAGGAAACAAGGAAAUCACAAGGGUCCCAUUGGUAUCAACAUUCUAAGUUCACAACAUUUCAAGACAAUAGAUCCUUUAUUUCAAGAUAAAACCUUCCAAAAGAGGGUGUCACCGUUAAGUCCCAAAAUGAUCGUAUAGUCUUAAGUUGCUCGGACUCUGGUGAGGAUCUGAGUGUCGGAUCUUUCAUGAUCGAAUUUUUGAGAUUCGAGGAUCUGGAUAUGGAUACGGGUGCGGGAACUUGGCAAAAAAGAAAUUAAAAAUUCAUACAUAUAGUUCAAAAUUGACAAGUAUUUUAAAACUAAUAAAAAAUGAGAAUAUUAAUAUGUUCAAUAUAUACUUGCGCUAAAUUUAGUUUCAUUAAAAAAAUGUGUGCUUUCAAAGCAUAUAUAUUAAUCUUUAAUUUAUAAUUAAAUAAUUAUAAUAUUUAUCCUUAUUUUAUAAACUCUAAUUAAUAUACCAUGCUUAUUUCAUUUAAUCAAAAUAAAGAAAUUAUUUAUUCUUAGUAAUAAAUAAUCAAAGAUGCAGCUGUUUAAUAUGGAAAGCUUAUCUCAUUAAAUAAACUCUAAUUAAUAUACAAUGCUUCUUUCAUUUAAUCAAAAUAAAGAUAAAUUAUUUAUUCUUAAUAAUAAAUAAUCAAGAUAUUUAAUAUGGAAAGCUUAUCUCAUUUAAUUAAAAAAAUUAUAAUGUUUAUUCUUAAUAACAAAUAAUAAACGUGGCAGCUAUUAAAGGAGUGCAGGUCAAUUAGAAAAAAAAUAGUGUUAGGUGACUGAACAAUCGUCUUCUUCAUCUUUUCCUCUUCUUCGUCUACUCUCCUCCAUCUUCGUCCCCAACUACUUGUUUUGCAUAUCUUUUUUUUACAAUACAAUACAAUAUCAUGAUGCGCACAAUCUAGUUGUCCACCACGGCACCGACAAUUCUCGGCUUCAAAAACCUGUAACAUCGUGAACAAUACCUGCAACAGCCA
This is a long non-coding RNA of Capsicum annuum, 4148 nucleotides long. RefSeq lists it as uncharacterized. The transcript is spliced from 2 exons. The record is from RefSeq and is a predicted model, not a curated record. NCBI's taxonomy places the organism in Eukaryota, Viridiplantae, Streptophyta, Magnoliopsida, Solanales, Solanaceae.